UACGUAGGCAGCAAGCGUUGUUCGGAGUUACUGGGCGUAAAGGGUGCGUAGGCGGCCUUAUAAGUAUGGUGUGAAAUCUCCCGGCUUAACUGGGAGGGUGCGCUAUAGACUGUGGGGCUAGAGUGUGGGAGAGGAAAGUGGAAUUCCUGGUGUAGCGGUGAAAUGCGUAGAUAUCAGGAGGAACACCGGUGGUGUAAACGGCUUUCUGGACCAUAACUGACGCUGAGGCACGAAAGCGUGGGGAGCGAACAGG
Molecule: ribosomal RNA, 253 nt
Filed under: uncultured bacterium
Lineage: Bacteria
Description: partial 16S ribosomal RNA
Rfam family: Bacterial small subunit ribosomal RNA
Source: RNAcentral